This is an unclassified non-coding RNA of Pongo abelii (Sumatran orangutan), 143 nucleotides long. It matches the Rfam family "Metazoan signal recognition particle RNA". From Rfam's summary of the family: The signal recognition particle (SRP) is a universally conserved ribonucleoprotein. It is involved in the co-translational targeting of proteins to membranes. The eukaryotic SRP consists of a 300-nucleotide 7S RNA and six proteins: SRPs 72, 68, 54, 19, 14, and 9. The record is from Ensembl. Lineage: Eukaryota; Metazoa; Chordata; Mammalia; Primates; Hominidae.
GCCGGGCGUGGUGGCGUGUGCCUGUAAUCCCAGCUACUCGGGAGGCUGAGGCAUGAGAAUUGCUUGAACCCAGGAGAUAGAGGUUGCAGUGAGCCGAGAUCAUGCCACUCCAGCCUGGGUGACAGAGUGAGACCUUGUCUCAA